ACGGAAGGCAGCAGUGGGGAAUAUUGCACAAUGGGCGAAAGCCUGAUGCAGCGACGCCGCGUGAGUGAAGAAGUAUCUCGGUAUGUAAAGCUCUAUCAGCAGGGAAGAAAAUGACGGUACCUGACUAAGAAGCCCCGGCUAACUACGUGCCAGCAGCCGCGGUAAUACGUAGGGGGCAAGCGUUAUCCGGAUUUACUGGGUGUAAAGGGAGCGUAGACGGUUUGGCAAGUCUGAAGUGAAAUGCGGGGGCUCAACUCCUGAACUGCUUUGGAAACUGUCGAACUAGAGUGCAGGAGAGGUAAGUGGAAUUCCUAGUGUAGCGGUGAAAUGCGUAGAUAUUAGGAGGAACACCAGUGGCGAAGGCGGCUUACUGGACUGUAACUGACGUUGAGGCUCGAAAGCGUGGGGGGCAAACAGGAUUAGAUACCCUGGUA
RNAcentral lists this ribosomal RNA (434 nucleotides) under uncultured Lachnospiraceae bacterium. Its description in RNAcentral is "partial 16S ribosomal RNA". It matches the Rfam family "Bacterial small subunit ribosomal RNA", at positions 341 to 792 of the family's 1533-position model. Lineage: Bacteria; Bacillati; Bacillota; Clostridia; Lachnospirales; Lachnospiraceae. The record is from RNAcentral.